UAGAAUAUAGUGUAAGUUUGGUAGCACGAAGAUCUUUGAAU
This 41-nucleotide transfer RNA is filed under the name Canis lupus (wolf). RNAcentral describes it as "partial tRNA-Gln". The record is from RNAcentral. Lineage: Eukaryota; Metazoa; Chordata; Mammalia; Carnivora; Canidae.